RNAcentral lists this ribosomal RNA (477 nucleotides) under uncultured bacterium. RNAcentral describes it as "partial 16S ribosomal RNA". It matches the Rfam family "Bacterial small subunit ribosomal RNA", at positions 29 to 507 of the family's 1533-position model. The record is from RNAcentral.
AUGAACGCUAGCGGCAGGCUUAACACAUGCAAGUCGAGGGGUAUUUAUCUUCGGAUAGAGAGACCGGCGCACGGGUGCGUAACGCGUAUGCAAUCUACCUUUUACAGAGGGAUAGCCCAGAGAAAUUUGGAUUAAUACCUCAUAGUAUAUAGACUCGGCAUCGAGAUUAUAUUAAAGUCACAACGGUAAAAGAUGAGCAUGCGUCCCAUUAGCUAGUUGGUAAGGUAACGGCUUACCAAGGCUACGAUGGGUAGGGGUCCUGAGAGGGAGAUCCCCCACACUGGUACUGAGACACGGACCAGACUCCUACGGGAGGCAGCAGUGAGGAAUAUUGGACAAUGGGCGCAAGCCUGAUCCAGCCAUGCCGCGUGCAGGAUGACGGUCCUAUGGAUUGUAAACUGCUUUUAUACGAGAAGAAACACUGCUACGUGUAGCAGCUUGACGGUAUCGUAAGAAUAAGGAUCGGCUAACUCCGUG